RNAcentral lists this ribosomal RNA (497 nucleotides) under uncultured bacterium. RNAcentral describes it as "partial 16S ribosomal RNA". It matches the Rfam family "Bacterial small subunit ribosomal RNA", at positions 28 to 507 of the family's 1533-position model. The record is from RNAcentral.
GAUGAACGCUGGCGGCGUGCCUAAUACAUGCAAGUCGAGCGAACGGACGAGAAGCUUGCUUCUUUGAUGUUUGCGGCGGACGGGUGAGUAACACGUGGAUAACCUACCUAUAUGACUGGGAUAACUUCGGGAAACCGGAGCUAAUACCGGAUAAUCUUUUGAACCGCAUGGUUCAAAAGUGAAAGACGGUCUUGCUGUCACUUCUCGAUGGAUCCGCGCUGCAUUAGCUAGUUGGUAAGGUAACGGCUUACCAAGGCAACGAUGCAUAGCCGACCUGAGAGGGUGAUCGGCCACACGGGAACUGAGACACGGUCCAGACUCCUACGGGAGGCAGCAGUAGGGAAUCUUCCGCAAUGGGCGAAAUCCUGACGGAGCAACGCCGCGUGAGUGAUGAAGGUCUUCGGAUCGUAAAACUCUGUUAUUAGGGAAAAACAUAUGUGUAAGUAACUGUACACAGCUUGACGGUACCUAAUCAGAAAGCCACGGCUAACUACGUG